CAAUAGCGUAUAUUUAAGUUGUUGCAGUUAAAAAGCUCGUAGUUGGAUUUCGGAUGGGACUUGCCGGUCCGUCGUUUCGAUGUGCACUGGCCAGUCCUAUCUUGUUGUCGGGGACUAGCUCCUGGGCUUCACUGUCCGGGACUAGGAGCUGACGAGGUUACUUUGAGUAAAUUAGAGUGUUCAAAGCAAGCCUACGCUCUGAAUACAUUAGCAUGGAAUAACACGAUAGGACUCUGGCUUAUCUUGUUGGUCUGUGAGACCAGAGUAGUGAUUAAGAGGGACAGUCGGGGGCAUUCGUAUUUCAUUGUCAGAGGUGAAAUUCUUGGAUUUAUGAAAGACGAACUUCUGCGAANGNAUUUGUNAAGGAUGUUUNCAUUA
Molecule: ribosomal RNA, 378 nt
Filed under: uncultured eukaryote
Lineage: Eukaryota
Description: partial 18S ribosomal RNA
Rfam family: Eukaryotic small subunit ribosomal RNA
Source: RNAcentral